Molecule: ribosomal RNA, 431 nt
Filed under: uncultured archaeon
Lineage: Archaea
Description: bacterial SSU rRNA
Rfam family: Archaeal small subunit ribosomal RNA
Source: RNAcentral
UACCAGCUCUUCGAGUGGUGUGGAUGUUUAUUGGGCCUAAAGCAUCCGUAGCUGGCUGGGCAAGUCCCCUGUUAAAUCCACCGAUUUAAUCGUUGGAGUGCGGGGGAUACUGUUCGGCUAGGGGACGGGAGAGGCAGACGGUAUUUUCGGGGUAGGGGUGAAAUCCUAUAAUCCCGAGAAGACCACCAGUGGCGAAGGCUGUCUGCUAGAGCGCGCCCGACGGUGAGGGAUGAAAGCUGGGGGAGCGAACCGGAUUAGAUACCCGGGUAGUCCCAGCUGUAAACGAUGCAGGCUAGGUGUUUGGGCGGCCACGUGCCGCUCUAGUGCCGCAGGGAAGCCGUUAAGCCUGCCGCCUGGGGAGUACGGCCGCAAGGCUGAAACUUAAAGGAAUUGGGCGGGGGAGCACCACGAAGGGGUGAAGCUUGCGGUUU